Molecule: long non-coding RNA, 308 nt
Filed under: Notechis scutatus (mainland tiger snake)
Lineage: Eukaryota; Metazoa; Chordata; Lepidosauria; Squamata; Elapidae
Description: lncRNA (ENSNSUG00000007975.1)
Source: RNAcentral
UUUAAUAUCUUGUUCUCCCCUCCAGGUCUGUGCCCCUCCAGGCCCAAGCAUAUAUCAUAGUAGUUGGAAGUCAAAAUUUGCAUUAACCGAAAGCUACAGGCAAAAAUGAUAAAAUGAUCAGUGCAGCAUGAAAUGAAAGAGAAAUUGUAAUGGAAUUGGAAGCAAACAAAUGUCCCUAUCAUCCAAAAGGGAGGAGAAGUCAAGAAUGAUCCAUCACUAAAGAUAAAAUCUUCUUCAAGGUCUUUUCCUUUUGACCCAGGAGAUUCUGUUUCUUAAAGAGUUGUUAUUCCUGAAUGCCCAUCUUGAGA